Non-coding RNA from Triticum aestivum (bread wheat), 76 nucleotides. Lineage: Eukaryota; Viridiplantae; Streptophyta; Magnoliopsida; Poales; Poaceae. The record is from Rfam.
UUUCGGGUGAUGAAGAAAAUCGUUCGGAUUCCCAUUGAUAUUUCAUGAUUAGUAUAACUAGCUACUUCUGAUGGAU